Molecule: long non-coding RNA, 676 nt
Organism: Pyrus x bretschneideri (Chinese white pear)
Lineage: Eukaryota; Viridiplantae; Streptophyta; Magnoliopsida; Rosales; Rosaceae
Exons: 2
Source: RefSeq, a predicted model, not a curated record
GUGUGUUCCACAACGAAGAUUAAGAGAUUUUGUCUGUACUUACAAAGAGUUAAGACUGCCCACUUCUGCGGUGGGAUAGAAUCUCAGCUUCAUUCCCUCACCCACCUGUCAACCACUGAUUUUGUAAUGGAAGCUCAUAAAAAUGAUUGGUGGAUACAUUUAAUACCAAAUCUGAGUGGUUGCAAAUCACACACAGCUUUUAUCAUUCAGUAUUUCUAUCAAAUUUGUAAGCCUAAAAAAGAAGAGAGUUGCACAGAAAAAUCAGCACUCAGUCUAUUUAUCUUUCUUAACUUGUGGUGGGAGGAGGAAGAAGAGAAAAUGUAUGCACCACCGGGGUACCAAGAAAUGUCGCCGGUUGAUCACGUUCGACGGCGCCACGAGGAGAAGGGUUGCCUCUAUGCUUGUUUGUUUGCAGCUUGUUGUUGUUUCUGCUUGCUAUGAGACUUGUGAGUGCUGUUUAGAUGUACUCUGUUGUUGCUGCACUUGAUUUGUCAUCUUUUAUUUGGAGAUGGAGACUUGGAGUCUCCGCUCUUUAGAAAGGAGGUUCUGAGUUUAAAAUUUUAUGGAUGACGGGUUGUAAUAAAAGUAAAAAGAAUCGGAGAUUAGAUUUCUCAUGAAUAAAUAAUGUAAUAAACUAUAUAUAAAAAAUGCUACUCUAGUUAUAUUUUAUACAUCA